This 464-nucleotide ribosomal RNA is filed under the name uncultured bacterium. Its description in RNAcentral is "bacterial SSU rRNA". It matches the Rfam family "Bacterial small subunit ribosomal RNA", at positions 338 to 795 of the family's 1533-position model. The record is from RNAcentral.
CCUACGGGUUGCACCAGUGGGAAUAUUGCACAAUGGGCGCAAGCCUGAUGCAGCCAUGCCGCGUGUAUGAAGAAGGCCUUCGGGUUGUAAAGUACUUUCAGCGGGGAGGAAGGUGUAGUGGUUAAUAACCACAGCAAUUGGCGUUACCCGCAGAAGAAGCACCGGCUAACUCCGUGCCAGCAGCCGCGGUAAUACGGAGGGUGCAAGCGUUAAUCGGAAUUACUGGGCGUAAAGCGCACGCAGGCGGUCUGUCAAGUCGGAUGUGAAAUCCCCGGGCUCAACCUGGGAACUGCAUUCGAAACUGGCAGGCUAGAGUCUUGUAGAGGGGGGUAGAAUUCCAGGUGUAGCGGUGAAAUGCGUAGAGAUCUGGAGGAAUACCGGUGGCGAAGGCGGCCCCCUGGACAAAGACUGACGCUCAGGUGCGAAAGCGUGGGGAGCAAACAGGAUUAGAUACCCUCGUAGUC